GAGGGUAUAGCUCAGUAGUAGAGUGUGUGCUUAGCAUGCACGAGGUCCUGGGUUCAAUCCCUAGUAUCUCCA
This 72-nucleotide transfer RNA is filed under the name Camelus bactrianus (Bactrian camel). It matches the Rfam family "tRNA". Rfam says of the family: Transfer RNA (tRNA) molecules are approximately 80 nucleotides in length. RNAcentral also lists the same sequence under 2 other names. The record is from Rfam by way of RNAcentral. Lineage: Eukaryota; Metazoa; Chordata; Mammalia; Artiodactyla; Camelidae.